RNAcentral lists this long non-coding RNA (1003 nucleotides) under Homo sapiens (human). Its description in RNAcentral is "non-protein coding lnc-MTRR-18:1". The record is from RNAcentral. Lineage: Eukaryota; Metazoa; Chordata; Mammalia; Primates; Hominidae.
GAACUUCCAGCCUCCAGAACUGGGAAGAAUUCACUUCCGUUGCUUAAGCCCCCAGUCUACGUAUUUUGUUAUGGCAGCCUAAGCUGGGCCUAGAAUGGUGCCUAGAAUAUAAUGCAUCCUUUGUAAACAUUUGGCUUUUAUUCCUCUUAGGUACUUAUAUCCUAUUUUGUGUCACACUUUCACAUUGGAAUUUGAAAAAGGUUUUACAGAAGGCUUCUCAACGAAAACAAUGCAAGCCAGAAGACCUUCAUGUUCUCACUUAUUUGUGAGGGAAAAAAAUUAAAGCAAUUGAACUGAUGGAGAUACAGAGCAGAAGGUUGGUUACCAGAGGCUGAGAAGGGUACGUGGGGGGUCAGGAGGAAGUAGGGCAUACACAAAGACAUCUGAGAAGUUUUCCAAUCCUUGACUUUGGCUCCAUCACUCCUUUUACAUCUCUAAAGAACAAGAAGAGUAGGUUCAGGAUACCUAUUUUAAUGCCUGGCAGUUAUUACAUGAAGAGUGUUAGCUCCUUUUCCAAAGUUUUAAGAUAACAAUAACUCAGUGAGCUCGUCUUUACAGAUGGUAUUAAGCAAGCAUCUCAGCACAAGGCUGAGGCCUCCAGCCUCAGACAUACUCUCAAAUUUCGUAUCUGAAGAUAUGUGCUCCACACUCCCUCAUGGCUCCCCUAAAUGACCCGCCGUCUCCACACACACCACACUGCACUGUGUAUUUUCUCAGGGUUCUGGCUCUUUAAGGGAUCCUAACUGCUGGCUUAGGCUGGGAAAUCUCUGUCUGUCAUUCACCUUGCAUCUCACAGCUGUUGCUUCUGUAGCCCUAAUGUCCCCAGGACUCAUCCUCAAGGCAUAGGCAUGGCAAAGACAGUGGGAAAUGCUGGAUCCUGGCCUCACCAGACCUGGGUCAUAAUUUCAACCAUGUCUCUGGGGCCAUUCACUACUCUGUAAAGCCUGAGAACUAAUGCUUGACUACAUAAAAUGAAUCCACCUGCUUUAUUAUUUAGUUGCCA